AGAUGAGAGAAACACCCCGCUCGCAGGGGACUGCGGGCGACACCGGAGCGGAGCAUCCCCAGCACCGCUUUGGUCGUGCCUUCGCGCACACCACUGGAGAUUCAGGCUCUGGAACUCCUUGCCGAUCGGA
Molecule: non-coding RNA, 130 nt
Filed under: Streptomyces sp. MnatMP-M17
Lineage: Bacteria; Bacillati; Actinomycetota; Actinomycetes; Kitasatosporales; Streptomycetaceae
Description: Streptomyces RNA 5676
Rfam family: Streptomyces RNA 5676
About the family: Identified by deep sequencing of transcriptome at the end of exponential growth phase.
Source: Rfam by way of RNAcentral